AGAGUUUGAUCCUGGCUCAGGACGAACGCUGGCGGCGCGCCUAACACAUGCAAGUCGAACGAGAGAUGAAGAGCUUGCUCUUCAAAUCGAGUGGCGAACGGGUGAGUAACGCGUGAGGAACCUGCCUCAAAGAGGGGGACAACAGUUGGAAACGACUGCUAAUACCGCAUAAGCCCACGGCUCGGCAUCGAGCAGAGGGAAAAGGAGCAAUCCGCUUUGAGAUGGCCUCGCGUCCGAUUAGCUAGUUGGUGAGGUAACGGCCCACCAAGGCGACGAUCGGUAGCCGGACUGAGAGGUUGAACGGCCACAUUGGGACUGAGACACGGCCCAGACUCCUACGGGAGGCAGCAGUGGGGAAUAUUGCACAAUGGGGGAAACCCUGAUGCAGCGACGCCGCGUGGAGGAAGAAGGUCUUCGGAUUGUAAACUCCUGUUGUUGAGGAAGAUAAUGACGGUACUCAACAAGGAAGUGACGGCUAACUACGUGCCAGCAGCCGCGGUAAAACGUAGGUCACAAGCGUUGUCCGGAAUUACUGGGUGUAAAGGGAGCGCAGGCGGGAGAACAAGUUGGAAGUGAAAUCCAUGGGCUCAACCCAUGAACUGCUUUCAAAACUGUUUUUCUUGAGUAGUGCAGAGGUAGGCGGAAUUCCCGGUGUAGAGGUGGAAUGCGUAGAUAUCGGGAGGAACACCAGUGGCGAAGGCGGCCUACUGGGCACCAACUGACGCUGAGGCUCGAAAGUGUGGGUAGCAAACAGGAUUAGAUACCCUGGUAGUCCACACCGUAAACGAUGAUUACUAGGUGUUGGAGGAUUGACCCCUUCAGUGCCGCAGUUAACACAAUAAGUAAUCCACCUGGGGAGUACGACCGCAAGGUUGAA
RNAcentral lists this ribosomal RNA (877 nucleotides) under uncultured bacterium. RNAcentral describes it as "bacterial SSU rRNA". It matches the Rfam family "Bacterial small subunit ribosomal RNA", at positions 8 to 898 of the family's 1533-position model. The record is from RNAcentral.